RNAcentral lists this ribosomal RNA (469 nucleotides) under uncultured bacterium. RNAcentral describes it as "SSU rRNA". It matches the Rfam family "Bacterial small subunit ribosomal RNA", at positions 26 to 518 of the family's 1533-position model. The record is from RNAcentral.
AGGAUAAACGCUGGCGGCGUGCCUAACACAUGCAAGUCGAACGUCUCUUUCUUCGGGAAGAGGAGUGGCGGACGGGUGAGGAACACGUGGGAACCUGCCCUUUAGUGAGGAAUACCGGCGAGAAAUCGCCGACAAGACCGCAUAGCCCUCUUUGAUGAGAGUCAAAGAAGGAAAGCUUCGCAAGAGGCGCUAGAGGAGGGGCCUGCGUCCGAUUAGCUAGUUGGUGGGGUAAGAGCCUACCAAGGCGUCGAUCGGUAGCUGGUCUGAGAGGACGAUCAGCCACACUGGGAUUGAGAACGGCCCAGACUCCUACGGGGGGCAGCAGUGAGGAAUUUUCGGCAAUGGGGGAAACCCUGACCGAGCAACGCCGCGUGCAGGAAGACGGCCUUGGGUUGUAAACUGUCUUUCUUGGGACGAGGAAGGACGGUACCAGAGGAAUCAGCCCGGCUCACUACGUGCCAGCAGCCGC